RNAcentral lists this unclassified non-coding RNA (193 nucleotides) under uncultured Ascomycota. RNAcentral's name for it is "sequence contains ITS1". The record is from RNAcentral. Lineage: Eukaryota; Fungi; Ascomycota.
CAGAGCUUCGAAGCCUGAGGGAAAGUAGCCGAAAGGUGCACUGCCCCUAGGAUUGAGAACUCCACCCUUUGUUUACAUUACCUUUGUUGCUUUAGCAGGCCCGCUCUCGGGCCGCCGGCUUAGGCUGGUCAGCGCCUGCUAGAGGACCUAAAACUCUUGUUAAUAUUAUUGUCUGAGUACUAUAUAAUAGUUA